Molecule: ribosomal RNA, 449 nt
Filed under: uncultured bacterium
Lineage: Bacteria
Description: partial 16S ribosomal RNA
Rfam family: Bacterial small subunit ribosomal RNA
Source: RNAcentral
GUCGAGAAUCUUUCACAAUGGGGGCAACCCUGAUGGAGCGACGCCGCGUGGAGGAUGAGGUCUUCGGAUUGUAAACUCCUGUCAUGCGUGAACAAGGUUGCUUGGUUAAUACCUGGGCAAAUUGAUGGUAACGCAAGAGGAAGAGACGGCUAACUCUGUGCCAGCAGCCGCGGUAAUACAGAGGUCUCAAGCGUUGUUCGGAAUCACUGGGCGUAAAGGGUGCGUAGGUGGCGUGGUAAGUCAGAUGUGAAAGCCCGGGGCUCAACCUCGGAACUGCAUCCGAUACUGCCAUGGUAGAGUACUGGAGAGGUGACUAGAAUUCUCGGUGUAGCAGUGAAAUGCGUAGAUAUCGAGAGGAAUACCAAAGGCGUAGGCAGGUCACUGGACAGUUACUGACACUGAGGCACGAAGGCCAGGGGAGCGAACGGGAUUAGAUACCCUUGUAGUCC